This 73-nucleotide transfer RNA is filed under the name Rhipicephalus sanguineus (brown dog tick). RNAcentral's name for it is "transfer RNA valine (anticodon AAC)". It matches the Rfam family "tRNA". Rfam says of the family: Transfer RNA (tRNA) molecules are approximately 80 nucleotides in length. Their secondary structure includes four short double-helical elements and three loops (D, anti-codon, and T loops). The record is from Rfam by way of RNAcentral. Lineage: Eukaryota; Metazoa; Arthropoda; Arachnida; Ixodida; Ixodidae.
GUGCUUGUGGUGUAGUGGUCAUCACAUCAGCCUAACACGCGGAAGGUCCCAGGUUCGAUCCCUGGCAGGCACA